RNAcentral lists this unclassified non-coding RNA (2086 nucleotides) under Pogonomyrmex barbatus (red harvester ant). Its description in RNAcentral is "xenotropic and polytropic retrovirus receptor 1, transcript variant X3". The record is from RNAcentral. Lineage: Eukaryota; Metazoa; Arthropoda; Insecta; Hymenoptera; Formicidae.
UAUCUUUUCUUCCUCAGUAUGAAAUUUGCCGAACAUUUAAGCGCGCAUAUCACACCGGAAUGGAGAAAGCAGUAUAUCAACUACGAGGAAAUGAAGGCUCUGUUGUACGCUGCAGUAGAGCAGGCUCCAUCGGCAGAUGUAAGCGAACCAUACGUUUUAGAUAGUUUCUAUGGCAAGUUUGACGAAAAGUUUUUCCAUUAUUGCGAUAAGGAGCUGGCUAAAAUAAAUACCUUCUAUUCUGAAAAGCUAGCAGAGGCUACACGUAGAUUCGCUACACUUAACAAUGAACUAAGCGAAAUUUUGUCGGUUUCCGAAGAUGUCCAAAGUUGUAAGACACGCUAUCGUAGUCACAUUCUUCACAAGAAACCAGUAUCAGCACGAAAACUUCAAGAGUUGAAAUUAGCCUUUUCUGAAUUCUAUCUCUUUCUCAUUUUACUCCAAAAUUAUCAGGAUUUAAAUUUUACUGGAUUUCGAAAGAUUUUGAAGAAACAUGACAAGCUUCUAAAUGUAGACUCUGGUAGCAAAUGGCGUGCAGAGCAUGUCGAUACAGCGAUUUUCCAUACGCGUAAGGAUAUAGAUAGACUCAUUGCGGAAACCGAGGCUGUAGUCACUCGAGAUCUGGAGCAUGGCGAUCGUCAAAGAGCCAUGAAACGGCUUAGAGUGCCUCCGCUCGGAGAGCACCUCUCUCCUUGGAUUACGUUUAAAGUUGGUCUUUUUUCUGGCGCGUUUAUUAUACUUUUUAUAGCUGUGAUAUUAUCUGCUAUGCGAUACAAAAAGAAGGAGAACUGGACGGUAUUGUGUCGAAUUUAUCGUGGACCACUUCUUAUGAUAGAGUUUUUGUUUCUGAUGGGAAUCAAUGUUUAUGGCUGGAGAUCUUCUGGUGUAAAUCAUGUGCUAAUAUUCGAACUUGAUCCACGCAAUCAUUUAUCAGAACAGCACAUUAUCGAAAUGGCAACUAUACUCGGCCUGGUCUGGUCCAUGUCUAUUUUGGGUUUUUUAUACAGUGAUACAUUGGGUAUACCACCAUUUGUACAACCAAUGCUGUUUUACGCACUGUUGGCACUGUUUUUAUUUAAUCCUACCAAGACUUUGCGACACGAAGCGAGAUUCUGGACAUUACGUGUUUUAGGUCGCGUCUUCUGCGCUCCAUUCUUUUAUGUAGGUUUCGCGGAUUUCUGGUUGGCUGAUCAACUCAAUUCUCUUCAUACAGUCUUUUUAGACUUUCAGUAUUUUAUCUGUUUCUAUAUUCAGAACUCCUCUUGGACCGAUGUUACAGAUACGGAAACCUGCAUAAUGCGUGAAUUAUCGAUGAGACCGUUUGUGGUAUGCUUACCGGCGUGGUUUCGAUUUGCGCAAUGCCUCAGGCGUUACCGAGAUACAAAAGAGACCUUUCCACAUUUAUUAAAUGCGGUCAAGUAUGCAACAAGCUUCUUUGUGGUUAUUUUCUCCUAUUUGCACUUAAUAAACAGCAAGUACUAUACGUUAUCUACUGAGAAUCCUUAUUUUUACUUGUGGCUGACAGUCAGUAUCGUGAGUUCCUGUUUUACUUAUACGUGGGAUGUGAAAUUGGAUUGGGGUCUCUUUGAUAGCAGUGCUGGAGAAAACAAAUUCCUUAGGGAAGAGAUAGUUUAUUCGUCACCUUAUUAUUAUUAUUUUGCAAUAGUCGAAGAUUUUAUCUUGCGAUUUGGAUGGGCGUUUUCUUUGUCUUUAACAGAGAUGGGAUACAUCCACGCAGAUCUUAUGGUUUCCAUAGUUGCUCCGUUAGAAGUCUUCAGUCGCUAGAAGGUUCAUGUGGAAUUACUUUCGACUGGAGAACGAGCAUCUAUACAACGUAGGCAAGUUCCGAGCAGUACGAGAUAUUUCCAUAGGACCUAUUAGACGUGACGAAGACACUCUGAAAAAUAUGAUCCAUCUAAUGGAUAAUACAAAUGAGAAUAACGACAAUGGAGAUGAUGAUAAUGAUGAAGGAUUAGUGGAAACUCAUGAUCACGAUGUCUGACACGUUACGUUUCGUAUGGAAUUUCUUCCGUUUGGAGAACGAGCAUUUGAAUAAUUGUGGGAAGUUUAGAGCAGUGCGAGACAUUUC